AUUGAACGCUGGCGGCAUGCCUAACACAUGCAAGUCGAACGGCAGCACAGCAGUAGCAAUACUGUGGGUGGCGAGUGGCGGACGGGUGAGGAAUACGUCGGAAUCUGCCCAGUCGUGGGGGAUAACUAGCCGAAAGGUUAGCUAAUACCGCAUACGACCGAGAGGUGAAAGCGGGGGACCGCAAGGCCUCGCGCGAUUGGAUGAGCCGACGUCGGAUUAGCUAGUUGGCGGGGUAAAGGCCCACCAAGGCGACGAUCCGUAGCUGGUCUGAGAGGAUGAUCAGCCACACUGGAACUGAGACACGGUCCAGACUCCUACGGGAGGCAGCAGUGGGGAAUUUUGGACAAUGGGCGCAAGCCUGAUCCAGCCAUUCCGCGUGCAGGAUGAAGGCCUCGGUUGUAACUAGCUUUUGUUACGGAACGAAACGGUACGUGCCCUAAUACGGUGGGCGUAAUGACGGUACCGUAACGGAAUAAGACACCGGCUAACUACGUGCCAGCAGCCG
This 505-nucleotide ribosomal RNA is filed under the name uncultured bacterium. RNAcentral's name for it is "bacterial SSU rRNA". It matches the Rfam family "Bacterial small subunit ribosomal RNA", at positions 29 to 517 of the family's 1533-position model. The record is from RNAcentral.